This 382-nucleotide ribosomal RNA is filed under the name Escherichia coli. RNAcentral describes it as "partial 23S ribosomal RNA". It matches the Rfam family "Bacterial large subunit ribosomal RNA", at positions 1351 to 1735 of the family's 2925-position model. Lineage: Bacteria; Pseudomonadati; Pseudomonadota; Gammaproteobacteria; Enterobacterales; Enterobacteriaceae. The record is from RNAcentral.
GUUCCUGUCCAACGUUAAUCGGGGCAGGGUGAGUCGACCCCUAAGGCGAGGCCGAAAGGCGUAGUCGAUGGGAAACAGGUUAAUAUUCCUGUACUUGGUGUUACUGCGAAGGGGGGACGGAGAAGGCUAUGUUGGCCGGGCGACGGUUGUCCCGGUUUAAGCGUGUAGGCUGGUUUUCCAGGCAAAUCCGGAAAAUCAAGGCUGAGGCGUGAUGACGAGGCACUACGGUGCUGAAGCAACAAAUGCCCUGCUUCCAGGAAAAGCCUCUAAGCAUCAGGUAACAUCAAAUCGUACCCCAAACCGACACAGGUGGUCAGGUAGAGAAUACCAAGGCGCUUGAGAGAACUCGGGUGAAGGAACUAGGCAAAAUGGUGCCGUAACU